This 548-nucleotide long non-coding RNA is filed under the name Apteryx rowi (Okarito brown kiwi). Its description in RNAcentral is "lncRNA (ENSARWG00000001242.1)". The record is from RNAcentral. Lineage: Eukaryota; Metazoa; Chordata; Aves; Apterygiformes; Apterygidae.
CGGCGAGGCGCCAUUUCGCCCUCCCCGGCCCGCGCCGCGGCUGAGCCCGCGGUGAGCGGCGCGCCGAGGCCACCGCCGCCUGCAGCAGAAGCCAGCGCUCCGAAACGCCUGUUAAGUAGGCUGUCCGCAAGGAAACGUGAUCUGAAGAGGAAGGGGAAAGUUCAGAGUGGUUCCCCCAGAGCCUCGCAGCCCUGGCAGCGGCCAGACAUCCGUCCCAGCUCGUUGCUUCCCUUGGGGGUGAAAAGCCCAGGAGAGGCAGCUGGCGGGGGCGAGCSGAGGCACCAGGAGCAUUGGGAGACUCAUGAAGCAGCAGGGCAGUACCUAUUGCUCCCCUACUUCCAUACAGAUAAGCCACAGGCAGAAAGUACUUUGCAGUCUGUUGCACCUGGACCUGCAGACAUUACUCCUUAGGUAAGUGCAGCCAUGCACUGGCGUUAUAAAUGAAUGCAUCUCAACAGGCCGGUCCCACUGGGCGGAUUUGUAUCGUCUGUUUUUCCCUUGUCUCCAAGCAGUGACGUCAGAGCUGUUAACUUGUUCAAAAGCUGCAG